AUUGAACGCUGGCGGCAGGCCUAACACAUGCAAGUCGAGCGAGCGGCGGACGGGUGAGUAAUGUCUGGGAAACUGCCUGAGAGAGGGGGAUAACUAAUGGAAACGGUAGCUACUAUCGCAUACCAUCAGAUGUGCCAAGAUGGGAUUAGCUAGUAGGUGGGGUAACGGGUCACCUAGGCGACGAUCCCUAUCUGGUCUGAGAGGGUGAGCAGACGAAAGAGAACUGAGCGCGGGCCCAGACUCCGACGGGCGGCAGCAGUGGGGAAUAUUGCACAAGGGGCGCAAGCCAGAUGCAGCCAGGCCGCGGGAGUGAAGAAGGCCUUAGGGUUGUAAAGCACUUUCAGCGGGAAGGGGUUACCCGCAGAAGAAGCACCGGCUAACUCCGUGCCAGCAGCCGCGGUAAUAC
This 406-nucleotide ribosomal RNA is filed under the name uncultured bacterium. Its description in RNAcentral is "partial 16S ribosomal RNA". It matches the Rfam family "Bacterial small subunit ribosomal RNA", at positions 29 to 526 of the family's 1533-position model. The record is from RNAcentral.